Molecule: ribosomal RNA, 909 nt
Filed under: uncultured bacterium
Lineage: Bacteria
Description: bacterial SSU rRNA
Rfam family: Bacterial small subunit ribosomal RNA
Source: RNAcentral
ACGCUGGCGGCGUGCCUAAUACAUGCAAGUAGAACGCUGAAGGAGGAGCUUGCUUCUCCGGAUGAGUUGCGAACGGGUGAGUAACGCGUAGGUAACCUGCCUGGUAGCGGGGGAUAACUAUUGGAAACGAUAGCUAAUACCGCAUAAGAGUAGAUGUUGCAUGACAUUUGCUUAAAAGGUGCAAUUGCAUCACUACCAGAUGGACCUGCGUUGUAUUAGCUAGUUGGUGGGGUAACGGCUCACCAAGGCGACGAUACAUAGCCGACCCGAGAGGGUGAUCGGCCACACUGGGACUGAGACACGGUCCAGACUCCUACGGGAGGCAGCAGUAGGGAAUCUUCGGCAAUGGACGGAAGUCUGACCGAGCAACGCCGCGUGAGUGAAGAAGGUUUUCGGAUCGUAAAGCUCUGUUGUAAGAGAAGAACGAGUGUGAGAGUGGAAAGUUCACACUGUGGCGGUAUCUUACCAGAAAGGGACGGCUAACUACGUGCCAGCAGCCGCGGUAAUACGUAGGUCCCGAGCGUUGUCCGGAUUUAUUGGGCGUAAAGCGAGCGCAGGCGGUUAGAUAAGUCUGAAGUUAAAGGCUGUGGCUUAACCAUAGUACGCUUUGGAAACUGUUUAACUUGAGUGCAAGAGGGGAGAGUGGAAUUCCAUGUGUAGCGGUGAAAUGCGUAGAUAUAUGGAGGAACACCGGUGGCGAAAGCGGCUCUCUGGCUUGUAACUGACGCUGAGGCUCGAAAGCGUGGGGAGCAAACAGGAUUAGAUACCCUGGUAGUCCACGCCGUAAACGAUGAGUGCUAGGUGUUAGACCCUUUCCGGGGUUUAGUGCCGCAGCUAACGCAUUAAGCACUCCGCCUGGGGAGUACGACCGCAAGGUUGAAACUCAAAGGAAUUGACGGGGGCCCGCAC